This 468-nucleotide ribosomal RNA is filed under the name uncultured bacterium. RNAcentral's name for it is "partial 16S ribosomal RNA". It matches the Rfam family "Bacterial small subunit ribosomal RNA", at positions 28 to 507 of the family's 1533-position model. The record is from RNAcentral.
GACGAACGCUGGCGGCGUGCUUAACACAUGCAAGUCGAACGGAAAGGCCCUGCUUUUGUGGGGUGCUCGAGUGGCGAACGGGUGAGUAACACGUGAGUAACCUGCCCUUGACUUUGGGAUAACUUCAGGAAACUGGGGCUAAUACCGGAUAGGAGCUCCUGCUGCAUGGUGGGGGUUGGAAAGUUUCGGCGGUUGGGGAUGGACUCGCGGCUUAUCAGCUUGUUGGUGGGGUAGUGGCUUACCAAGGCUUUGACGGGUAGCCGGCCUGAGAGGGUGACCGGCCACAUUGGGACUGAGAUACGGCCCAGACUCCUACGGGAGGCAGCAGUGGGGAAUAUUGCACAAUGGGCGGAAGCCUGAUGCAGAAAAGCCGCGUGCGGGAUGACGGCCUUCGGGUUGUAAACCGCUUUCGCCUGUGACGAAGAGUGAGUGACGGUAAUGGGUAAAGAAGCACCGGCUAACUACGUG